This 74-nucleotide transfer RNA is filed under the name Etheostoma caeruleum (rainbow darter). Its description in RNAcentral is "tRNA-Leu". It matches the Rfam family "tRNA". Rfam says of the family: Transfer RNA (tRNA) molecules are approximately 80 nucleotides in length. The record is from RNAcentral. Lineage: Eukaryota; Metazoa; Chordata; Actinopteri; Perciformes; Percidae.
GUCAAGGUGGCAGAGCCCGGUAAUUGCAAAAGGCCUAAGCCCUUUCCACAGGGGUUCAAAUCCUCUCCUUAACU